UAAAAAAAGGUAAGCUACUAAGAGCGAAUGGUGGAUGCCUUGACUGGUAAAGGCGAUGAAGGACGUACUAGACUGCGAUAAGCUACGGGGAGCUGUCAAGAAGCUUUGAUCCGUAGAUUUCCGAAUGGGGCAACCCAAUGUAUAGAGAUAUACAUUACCUAUAUAGGAGCGAACGAGGGGAAUUGAAACAUCUUAGUACCCUCAGGAAAAGAAAUCAAUAGAGAUUGCGUCAGUAGCGGCGAGCGAAAGCGCAAGAGGGCAAACCCAGUGCUUGCACUGGGGGUUGUAGGACUGCAAUGUGCAAGAGGUAAGUUUAGCAGAACAUUCUGGAAAGUAUAACCAUAGAGGGUGAUAGUCCCGUAUGCGAAAAACAAACCUUAGCUAGCAGUAUCCUGAGUAGGGCGGGACACGAGGAAUCCUGUCUGAAUCCGGGUCGACCACGAUCCAACCCUAAAUACUAAUACCAGAUCGAUAGUGCACAAGUACCGUGAGGGAAAGGUGAAAAGAACUGAGGUGAUCAGAGUGAAAUAGAACCUGAAACCAUUUGCUUACAAUCAUUCAGAGCCCUAUGUAGCAAUACAGGGUGAUGGACUGCCUUUUGCAUAAUGAGCCUGCGAGUUGUGGUGUCUGGCAAGGUUAAGCAAACGCGAAGCCGUAGCGAAAGCGAGUCUGAAUAGGGCGCUUAGUCAGAUGCUGCAGACCCGAAACGAAGUGAUCUAUCCAUGAGCAAGUUGAAGCUAGUGUAAGAACUAGUGGAGGACUGAACCCAUAGGCGUUGAAAAGCCCCGGGAUGACUUGUGGAUAGGGGUGAAAGGCCAAUCAAACUUCGUGAUAGCUGGUUCUCUCCGAAAUAUAUUUAGGUAUAGCGUUGUGUCGUAAUAUAAGGGGGUAGAGCACUGAAUGGGCUAGGGCAUACACCAAUGUACCAAACCCUAUCAAACUCCGAAUACCUUAUAUGUAAUCACAGCAGUCAGGCGGCGAGUGAUAAAAUCCGUCGUCAAGAGGGAAACAACCCAGACUACCAGCUAAGGUCCCUAAGUCUUACUUAAGUGGAAAACGAUGUGAAGUUACUUAAACAACCAGGAGGUUGGCUUAGAAGCAGCCAUCCUUUAAAGAAAGCGUAAUAGCUCACUGGUCUAGUGAUUUUGCGCGGAAAAUAUAACGGGGCUAAAGUAAGUACCGAAGCUGUAGACUUAAGUGGUAGGAGAGCGUUCUAUUUGCGUCGAAGGUAUACCGGUAAGGAGUGCUGGAGCGAAUAGAAGUGAGCAUGCAGGCAUGAGUAGCGAUAAUUAAUGUGAGAAUCAUUAACGCCGUAAACCCAAGGUUUCCUACGCGAUGCUCGUCAUCGUAGGGUUAGUCGGGUCCUAAGUCGAGUCCGAAAGGGGUAGACGAUGGCAAAUUGGUUAAUAUUCCAAUACCAACAUUAGUGUGCGAUGGAAGGACGCUUAGGGCUAAGGGGGCUAGCGGAUGGAAGUGCUAGUCUAAGGUCGUAGGAGGUUAUACAGGCAAAUCCGUAUAACAAUACUCCGAGAACUGAAAGGCUUUUUGAAGUCUUCGGAUGGAUAGAAGAACCCCUGAUGCCGUCGAGCCAAGAAAAGUUUCUAAGUUUAGCUAAUGUUGCCCGUACCGUAAACCGACACAGGUGGGUGGGAUGAGUAUUCUAAGGCGCGUGGAAGAACUCUCUUUAAGGAACUCUGCAAAAUAGCACCGUAUCUUCGGUAUAAGGUGUGGUUAGCUUUGUAUUAGGAUUUACUCCGAAAGCAAGGAAACUUACAACAAAGAGUCCCUCCCGACUGUUUACCAAAAACACAGCACUCUGCUAACUCGUAAGAGGAUGUAUAGGGUGUGACGCCUGCCCGGUGCUCGAAGGUUAAUUGAUGGGGUUAGCAUUAGCGAAGCUCUUGAUCGAAGCCCGAGUAAACGGCGGCCGUAACUAUAACGGUCCUAAGGUAGCGAAAUUCCUUGUCGGUUAAAUACCGACCUGCAUGAAUGGCGUAACGAGAUGGGAGCUGUCUCAAAGAGGGAUCCAGUGAAAUUGUAGUGGAGGUGAAAAUUCCUCCUACCCGCGGCAAGACGGAAAGACCCCGUGGACCUUUACUACAGCUUGACACUGCUACUUGGAUAAGAAUGUGCAGGAUAGGUGGGAGGCUUUGAGUAUAUGACGCCAGUUGUAUAUGAGCCAUUGUUGAGAUACCACUCUUUCUUAUUUGGGUAGCUAACCAGCUUGAGUUAUCCUCAAGUGGGACAAUGUCUGGUGGGUAGUUUGACUGGGGCGGUCGCCUCCCAAAUAAUAACGGAGGCUUACAAAGGUUGGCUCAGAACGGUUGGAAAUCGUUCGUAGAGUAUAAAGGUAUAAGCCAGCUUAACUGCAAGACAUACAAGUCAAGCAGAGACGAAAGUCGGUCUUAGUGAUCCGGUGGUUCUGUGUGGAAGGGCCAUCGCUCAAAGGAUAAAAGGUACCCCGGGGAUAACAGGCUGAUCUCCCCCAAGAGCUCACAUCGACGGGGAGGUUUGGCACCUCGAUGUCGGCUCAUCGCAUCCUGGGGCUGGAGCAGGUCCCAAGGGUAUGGCUGUUCGCCAUUUAAAGCGGUACGCGAGCUGGGUUCAGAACGUCGUGAGACAGUUCGGUCCCUAUCUGCCGUGGGCGUAAGAAGAUUGAAGAGAUUUGACCCUAGUACGAGAGGACCGGGUUGAACAAACCACUGGUGUAGCUGUUGUUCUGCCAAGAGCAUCGCAGCGUAGCUAAGUUUGGAAAGGAUAAACGCUGAAAGCAUCUAAGCGUGAAGCCAACUCUAAGAUGAAUCUUCUCUAAGCUCUCUAGAAGACUACUAGUUUGAUAGGCUGGGUGUGUAAUGGAUGAAAGUCCUUUAGCUGACCAGUACUAAUAGAGCGUUUGGCUUAUCUUUAAUAAAGCAU
This 2916-nucleotide ribosomal RNA is filed under the name Campylobacter jejuni. RNAcentral describes it as "bacterial LSU rRNA". It matches the Rfam family "Bacterial large subunit ribosomal RNA". The record is from RNAcentral. Lineage: Bacteria; Pseudomonadati; Campylobacterota; Epsilonproteobacteria; Campylobacterales; Campylobacteraceae.